RNAcentral lists this unclassified non-coding RNA (248 nucleotides) under uncultured Onygenales. Its description in RNAcentral is "sequence contains ITS2". The stretch from base 1 to 52 matches the Rfam family "5.8S ribosomal RNA", at positions 103 to 154 of the family's 154-position model. The record is from RNAcentral. Lineage: Eukaryota; Fungi; Ascomycota; Eurotiomycetes; Onygenales. RNAcentral also lists the same sequence under 1 other name.
AACGCACAUUGCGCCCUCUGGUAUUCCGGGGGGCAUGCCUGUUCGAGCGUCAUUGCAACCCCUCAAGCACGGCUUGUGUGUUGGGCCAUCGUCCCUUUUUGUGGACGGGCCUGAAAUGCAGUGGCAGCACCGAGUUCUGGUGUCUGAGUGUAUGGGAAUCUCUUAUCGCUCAAAGACCCAAUCGGCGCUGAUGUCAGAUUUUUAUCCAGUUUGACCUCGGAUCAGGUAGGAGUACCCGCUGAACUUAA